This is a small nucleolar RNA of Pistacia vera, 107 nucleotides long. Lineage: Eukaryota; Viridiplantae; Streptophyta; Magnoliopsida; Sapindales; Anacardiaceae. The record is from RefSeq and is a predicted model, not a curated record.
AAGUCAUGAUGUGGACACUUCCUUAACUACUUCUUAUGCCUCUCCCAAGCUUUAUAUAAUGAUUCAUUAUCACCUCGCACAAAAGAGGUGAUAUCAUUCCUCAUCUU